GUCUACGGCCAUGCCACCCUGAACAAGCCUGAUAUCUGAUCUUGGAAGCUAAGCAGAGUCGGGCCUGGUUAGUACUUGGAUGAGAGACCACCUAGGAAGACCAGGUGCUGUAGGCA
RNAcentral lists this ribosomal RNA (116 nucleotides) under Pteropus alecto (black flying fox). The record is from RNAcentral. Lineage: Eukaryota; Metazoa; Chordata; Mammalia; Chiroptera; Pteropodidae.